GCCAGCAUGGCAUAGUGAUUUGAGUAUUGGAUUGUGAUUCUGAAGAUCAGGGUUCGAUCCCCUUUUUGGCC
Phrynosoma platyrhinos (Desert horned lizard) is the source of this 71-nucleotide non-coding RNA. Lineage: Eukaryota; Metazoa; Chordata; Lepidosauria; Squamata; Phrynosomatidae. The record is from the annotation of a GenBank genome assembly.